AUUGAACGCUGGCGGCAUGCCUUACACAUGCAAGUCGAACGGCAGCGCGGGGCAACCUGGCGGCGAGUGGCGAACGGGUGAGUAAUAUAUCGGAACAUACCCUAGAGUGGGGGAUAACGUAGCGAAAGUUACGCUAAUACCGCAUACGCACUAAGGUGGAAAGUGGGGGAUUCGCAAGAACCUCAUGCUCAUGGAGUGGCCGAUAUCUGAUUAGCUAGUUGGUGAGGUAAAGGCUCACCAAGGCGACGAUCAGUAGCUGGUUUGAGAGAACGACCAGCCACACUGGAACUGAGACACGGUCCAGACUCCUACGGAGGCAGCAGUGGGGAAUUUUGGGACAAUGGGGGCAACCCUGAUCCAGCAAUGCCGCGUGAGUGAAGAAGGCCU
Molecule: ribosomal RNA, 387 nt
Filed under: uncultured bacterium
Lineage: Bacteria
Description: bacterial SSU rRNA
Rfam family: Bacterial small subunit ribosomal RNA
Source: RNAcentral